CUCUAACUCCUCCCACUGAGAUGACCCAUAGUACCCCAUUCCUUGCUGCAAUGUAAUUAUAUUUAAUUACAAGUGUGCCCCUGGUAGUCUUUAACUGAAGGGCACUGACUGGGUCACUGGUGAAGUUCCCCGCAGGAACUGAGUCAGACCCCAUCUCAGGGCCCUGCACAAGAUAGGUGCCUGCUCUAAGGCGUGGACCCUCGCCACAGCCCUGGCCCGUCUUGACGGGCGAGGGUUACUGUACUUGUCCCAACCGUACAGAUGAGAAAGCUGAGACUCAGGGCCAGCAACCCGGGUCCCAGCGGAGCGCCCGGCACACGCCGACACUUCAGCACCAGUGGCGGUGGCCACCACUGUGGGCGGAGAUGGCUGCGACGCGUGCGCAGGCAGCAGUAGGGCUUAUGGGAGCCAUUGUACAGUGACAGGAACAUACCAGGACACUGAGAAUAGCGUCAUGUCAUAAGGACUCAGAGCAGGUGGACCCUGCUGUGAUGCACAAAGGUGAGGGUGCAGCUGCCCAGGACACACUCAUGCAUGUUUGUGUGGACCAUGGAAGAUGGCAGGGGAAGAGCUGUCAGGUUGCUGGGGCAGAGGGUGCGCAUGAGUACUCGCCUAGGACCAUGCAAGAUAUGAUAAAGAUCUAUGUCACUGAAUUUUGUUUCUGUAUUUGUAUCUCAGCUUCCCAGAAAUAAAAAAGAAUUCUAACAUUCA
RNAcentral lists this long non-coding RNA (711 nucleotides) under Homo sapiens (human). Its description in RNAcentral is "glioblastoma down-regulated RNA". Lineage: Eukaryota; Metazoa; Chordata; Mammalia; Primates; Hominidae. The record is from RNAcentral.